GGAGCAUGUGGCUUAAUUUGACUCAACACGGGAAAUCUUACCGGGUCCGGACAUACCGAGGAUUGACAGACUGUUAACUGCAACACAAGCUGCUAAGUUUUAAACUUAAUAGCUCUUUCAUGAUUAUAUGAUAGGUGGUGCAUGGCCGUUCUUAGUUCGUGGAGUGAUCUGUCUGCUUAAUUGCGUUUCAAAAUUUAAACCUGAGCGACAAGGUGCUGCUAUCGAAACUGUCUUUGAGUGUGAACUAUAAGUCUUUUGACUUAUGACCAUCACUCUAGACGUUUAUGUUUUGGUGUUGGCCCUUGAUGCUCAUUUGAACGCAACGGACGUGAUUGCAACCCCUUGUUGAGAUUUAUCCGAUCUCUACGUUCACUGAACCACACUCUUUAGCGAGAGCAGUGGGGAUGUGGAUAAACUC
RNAcentral lists this ribosomal RNA (418 nucleotides) under Globigerinoides elongatus. RNAcentral describes it as "SSU rRNA". It matches the Rfam family "Eukaryotic small subunit ribosomal RNA", at positions 1178 to 1390 of the family's 1831-position model. Lineage: Eukaryota; Foraminifera; Rotaliida; Globigerinidae. The record is from RNAcentral.